Molecule: long non-coding RNA, 201 nt
Filed under: Elaeis guineensis (African oil palm)
Lineage: Eukaryota; Viridiplantae; Streptophyta; Magnoliopsida; Arecales; Arecaceae
Description: long non-coding RNA (EGUI_LNC047962)
Source: RNAcentral
GACGGAGUCCGGACGAAGUCUUCCUGUAGUCGGGGUCGGGGACGGAGUCCGGCUCCCGUAGGAGUCCGGACGAAGUCUUCCUGCAGUCGGAGUCGGUGGCGAAGUCCGGCUCCCGUAGGAGUCCAUCCGUCGUGAAGAAUCUGGUCGACGCUGGUGGGGGUUUAUCCAUCGACAGAACUUGGGAAUGCUACUGAGGCUCGG